Molecule: long non-coding RNA, 180 nt
Organism: Triticum aestivum (bread wheat)
Lineage: Eukaryota; Viridiplantae; Streptophyta; Magnoliopsida; Poales; Poaceae
Exons: 3
Source: RefSeq, a predicted model, not a curated record
GACUGGAGGAACGCGGGACCGUCGUCCUCGCGUUCGUGCACCUCCAGGAAGAAGACUGCUCGAGGUGAGACGCCUCGGAUCCGUCGUGCGAAGGUGGAGCAGCUCCAGAGGGACGAACGUCAAGGUAGCCACUGCUCCGUAGCUGGUCUGGGAUAUGAGUACGACCCUUGAUUCGUGCCG